GCAAGUCGAGCGAUUUACUUCGGUAAAGAGCGGCGGACGGGUGAGUAACGCGUGGGUAACCUGCCCUGUACACACGGAUAACAUACCGAAAGGUAUGCUAAUACGAGAUAAUAUACUUUUAUCGCAUGGUAGAAGUAUCAAAGCUCUGGCGGUACAGGAUGGACCCGCGUCUGAUUAGCUAGUUGGUAAGGUAACGGCUUACCAAGGCGACGAUCAGUAGCCGACCUGAGAGGAAGGUC
RNAcentral lists this ribosomal RNA (239 nucleotides) under uncultured bacterium. RNAcentral's name for it is "partial 16S ribosomal RNA". It matches the Rfam family "Bacterial small subunit ribosomal RNA", at positions 57 to 305 of the family's 1533-position model. The record is from RNAcentral.